AGUGAACGCUGGCGGUAGGCCUAACACAUGCAAGUCGAACGGCAGCACAGGAGAGCUUGCUCUCUGGGUGGCGAGUGGCGGACGGGUGAGGAAUACAUCGGAAUCUACUCUGUCGUGGGGGAUGACGUAGGGAAACUUACGCUAAUACCGCAUACGACCUACGGGUGAAAGCAGGGGAUCUUCGGACCUUGCGCGAUUGAAUGAGCCGAUGUCGGAUUAGCUAGUUGGCGGGGUAAAGGCCCACCAAGGCGACGAUCCGUAGCUGGUCUGAGAGGAUGAUCAGCCACACUGGAACUGAGACACGGUCCAGACUCCUACGGGAGGCAGCAGUGGGGAAUAUUGGACAAUGGGCGCAAGCCUGAUCCAGCCAUACCGCGUGGGUGAAGAAGGCCUUCGGGUUGUAAAGCCCUUUUGUUGGGAAAGAAAUCCAGCUGGCUAAUACCCGGUUGGGAUGACGGUACCCAAAGAAUAAGCACCGGCUAACUUCGUGUCAGCAGCCGCAGUAA
Molecule: ribosomal RNA, 506 nt
Filed under: uncultured bacterium
Lineage: Bacteria
Description: partial 16S ribosomal RNA
Rfam family: Bacterial small subunit ribosomal RNA
Source: RNAcentral